GAUGAACGCUGACAGAAUGCUUAACACAUGCAAGUCGAUGGGGAAGUGGUGCUUGCACCAUGGCAACCAUGGCGGACGGGUGAGUAACGCGUAAGGGACUUACCUGCAGGACUGGGAUAACAGGGGGAAACUCCUGACAAGACCGGAUAAUGUCAUGGAGCUGCAUGGCUUUAUGAUGAAAGGAGACGCCUGCGGAGAGCCUUGCGUCCUAUUAGCUAGUUGGUGAGGUAAUGGCUCACCAAGGCGAAGAUAGGUAGCCGGCCUGAGAGGGUGGACGGCCAAAAGGGGACUGAGAUACGGCCCUUACUCCUACGGGAGGCAGCAGUGGGGAAUAUUGGACAAUGGGGGCAACCCUGAUCCAGCAAUUCUGUGUGCACGAAGAAGGUUUUCGGAUUGUAAAGUGCUUUCAGCAGGGAAGAAGUAAGUGACGGUACCUGCAGAAGAAGCGACGGCUAAAUACGUG
Molecule: ribosomal RNA, 463 nt
Filed under: uncultured bacterium
Lineage: Bacteria
Description: partial 16S ribosomal RNA
Rfam family: Bacterial small subunit ribosomal RNA
Source: RNAcentral